CUGCGGAUGUGGCCUGCCGGCUCUUGUUGACUACUGUCCUAUUUUAGUACAACUUUACAAUGCAUUUUUGGACACAGUUGGGACAAAAAUAAAAAUAGAAAAGUACAGAAUCCAUUCACUAGCGAACGGGUACAAGGAAUCACCAGUGAAUCACUGUAUUGAUGAAAACCAUACAUCUCAUCAAAACCAAUCAUCGUCAUCAAAAAAAAAUAGGUAUACAAAUUACACGCGGAUGAAGUCAAUGGAAAAAGAAGGAGGGCUCCAACGCUCAACGGCAGAGGAAGAAACCGGGAAUACGCUCACAUGAAGAAAAGUUGA
Molecule: long non-coding RNA, 318 nt
Organism: Plodia interpunctella (Indianmeal moth)
Lineage: Eukaryota; Metazoa; Arthropoda; Insecta; Lepidoptera; Pyralidae
Exons: 3
Source: RefSeq, a predicted model, not a curated record